Long non-coding RNA from Pogoniulus pusillus (Red-fronted tinkerbird), 526 nucleotides. RefSeq lists it as uncharacterized. Lineage: Eukaryota; Metazoa; Chordata; Aves; Piciformes; Lybiidae. The record is from RefSeq and is a predicted model, not a curated record. The transcript is spliced from 2 exons.
GCACUUCGGUAACGGCGGCGCUGCAGGAUGGUGCUGCCGCACUCGUGGCUGCCUCCCGGCAAGGAAAGGCCACGGCCGUCCGCGCGCGGAAACCGGCAGCGGAAGGGCUGCUCUGGGCACACAGCCCCCGGUGAGUGCUCACUGCUGCUGUUCCAUAUCGGUACCGCGUGGCUGUCCGCUCCUUCCCUGAGGAUGCUGUUGACUGCACCUGCUUACGUGGAUUGUGUCUGCCUGGCCUCGCUCACCUCGUGGGAUGAGGGUGAAAAGGGACAAGUAGAGCACUUGCACGCCGUGCACAGGACUUGCUGAAGGCGAAGAGGCCGGACAGAGAACUCUAACUUCCUGCCAAGUCCACGCAGAACGAGUCGGCUGCUGGCGACAAUGAAGCAUCAGUUCCGACAGCGGAAAGCCACCAACCAUUCCUUAAAGUGCCACAUCAGCAUGUAACAGCCAAGGUGCAUGCUGACCUUACACUAACUGGGAAGAGGAGAAAAGAAGGAAGAAUAAACAUUUUCUUUUUCAACAA